This 254-nucleotide ribosomal RNA is filed under the name uncultured bacterium. RNAcentral's name for it is "partial 16S ribosomal RNA". It matches the Rfam family "Bacterial small subunit ribosomal RNA", at positions 524 to 776 of the family's 1533-position model. The record is from RNAcentral.
UACGGAGGGUGCGAGCGUUGUCCGGAAUCACUGGGCGUAAAGGGCGCGUAGGUGGCUCGUGAAGCGUGCGGUGAAAGUCCGAGGCUCAACCUCGGAUCGGCCGUGCGGACUCGCGGGCUCGAGCGUUGUAGAGGCGGGUGGAAUUCCGGGUGUAGCGGUGGAAUGCGUAGAGAUCCGGAAGAACACCGGUGGCGAAGGCGGCCCGCUGGGCAACUGCUGACACUGAGGCGCGACGAGCGUGGGGAGCAAACAGG